RNAcentral lists this ribosomal RNA (211 nucleotides) under uncultured bacterium. RNAcentral's name for it is "partial 16S ribosomal RNA". It matches the Rfam family "Bacterial small subunit ribosomal RNA", at positions 524 to 735 of the family's 1533-position model. The record is from RNAcentral.
UACGAAGGGGGCUAGCGUUGCUCGGAAUUACUGGGCGUAAAGGGCGCGUAGGCGGACAGUUUAGUCAGAGGUGAAAGCCCAGGGUCAACCUGGAAUUGCCUUUGAUACUGGCUGUCUUGAGUACGGGAGAGGUGAGUGGAACUCCGAGUGUAGAGGUGAAAUUCGUAGAUAUUCGGAAGAACACCAGUGGCGAAGGCGGCUGCACUGGCCC